AUUGGACAUGGGUUAACGCCUGAUCCAGCCAUCCCGCGNGAAGGACGACGGCCCUAUGGGUUGUAAACUUCUUUUGUACAGGGAUAAACCUACCCUCGUGAGGGUAGCUGAAGGUACUAGUACGAAUAAGCACCGGCUAACUCCGUGCCAGCAGCCGCGGUAAU
RNAcentral lists this ribosomal RNA (164 nucleotides) under uncultured Bacteroidota bacterium. Its description in RNAcentral is "uncultured Bacteroidetes bacterium partial 16S ribosomal RNA". It matches the Rfam family "Bacterial small subunit ribosomal RNA", at positions 363 to 524 of the family's 1533-position model. The record is from RNAcentral. Lineage: Bacteria; Pseudomonadati; Bacteroidota.